GCUAACAACGGGGCAGUGGCCGGGGUAGAAGGUAGGGGGCAAGCGUUAGCCGGAUUUAUUGGGCGGAAAGCGAGCGCAGGGGUGUUGUUAAGUCUGAGGUGAAAGCCCUUGGCUUAACCGAGGAAGCGCAUCGGAAACUGGGAAACGUGAGGGCAGAAGAGGACAGUGGAACUCCAUGUGUAGCGGUUAAAUGCGUAGAUAUAUGGAAGAACACCAGUGGCGAAGGCGGCUGUCUGGUCUGUAACUGACGCUGAGGCUCGAAAGCAUGGGUAUCGAACAGGAUUAGAUACCCGAGUAGUC
This 300-nucleotide ribosomal RNA is filed under the name uncultured Lactobacillus sp. Its description in RNAcentral is "bacterial SSU rRNA". It matches the Rfam family "Bacterial small subunit ribosomal RNA", at positions 496 to 795 of the family's 1533-position model. The record is from RNAcentral. Lineage: Bacteria; Bacillati; Bacillota; Bacilli; Lactobacillales; Lactobacillaceae.